AGAGUUUGAUCAUGGCUCAGGACGAACGCUGGCGGCGUGCCUAACACAUGCAAGUCGAACGAAGAAUGUUUUUCGGAAUAUUCUUAGUGGCGGACGGGUGAGUAACGCGUGAACAAUCUGCCCCGUACAAAGGGAUAGCCUCGGGAAACCGGGAUUAAAACCAUAUAACGCUUUAGUACCGCAUGGUAAUAAAGUCAAAUCGAUUAAGAGGUAUGGGAUGAGUUCGCGUCUGAUUAGCUAGUUGGUGAGGUAAGGGCUCACCAAGGCGACGAUCAGUAGCCGGCCUGAGAGGGUGAACGGCCACACUGGAACUGAGACMCGGUCCAGACUCCUACGGGAGGCAGCAGUGGGGAAUAUUGCACAAUGGAGGGAACUCUGAUGCAGCGACGCCGCGUGAGUGAAGAAGGUCUUCGGAUCGUAAAACUCUGUCCUUGGUGAAGAAAAGGACGGUAGCCAAGGAGGAAGCCCCGGCUAACUACGUGCCAGCAGCCGCGGUAAUACGUAGGGGGCGAGCGUUGUCCGGAUUUACUGGGCGUAAAGGGUGAGUAGGCGGUUAUAUAUGUCAGGUGUAAAAAGCUAUGGCUUAACCAUAGUAAGCACUUGAAACUGUAUGACUUGAGUGCAGGAGAGGUAAGCGGAAUUCCUAGUGUAGCGGUGAAAUGCGUAGAUAUUAGGAGGAACACCGGUGGCGAAGGCGGCUUACUGGACUGUAACUGACGCUGAGUCACGAAAGCGUGGGUAGCAAACAGGAUUAGAUACCCUGGUAGUCCACGCUGUAAACGAUGAGUGCUAGGUGUUGGGUAGCGAUAUUCAGUGCCGGAGUAAACACAAUAAGCACUCCGCCUGGGGAGUACGGUCGCAAGACUGAAACUCAAAUGAAUUGACGG
RNAcentral lists this ribosomal RNA (887 nucleotides) under uncultured bacterium. Its description in RNAcentral is "bacterial SSU rRNA". It matches the Rfam family "Bacterial small subunit ribosomal RNA", at positions 8 to 916 of the family's 1533-position model. The record is from RNAcentral.